Molecule: ribosomal RNA, 852 nt
Filed under: Leptolegniella exogena
Lineage: Eukaryota; Oomycota; Saprolegniomycetes; Leptomitales; Leptolegniellaceae
Description: partial large subunit ribosomal RNA
Rfam family: Eukaryotic large subunit ribosomal RNA
Source: RNAcentral
GGUGAUACUCCCGUCUCUGCUCAAAUUAUUAGUGUGUACGAUACGCUUUCUUUGAGUCGAGUUGCUUGGGAAUGCAGCUCAAAGUAGGUGGUAAAUUCCAUCUAAAGCUAAAUAUAGGUGCGAGACCGAUAGCGAACAAGUACCGUGAGGGAAAGAUGAAAAGAACUUUGAAAAGAGAGUUAAAGAGUACCUGAAACUGUUGAAAGGGAAUCGUAUCGUUUCCAGUGUCUUAGCUUUUACAUAUUUCAUUAAGGAAUUUAUUUUUUAAUGCCCUGUGUAUUAGUGUGACGUCAAAGUCAGUUUAUAUAUUACGGGAGAUGAUUAUUAAGGAGGUAGUUUAUAUUUUUAAUAUAAAUGUUAUACCUUAAUAAUUAGUAGUCGUGAUUAAGACUGAGGUGCCUAUAACAUGCCUUGUAGAUCUAUUAUAAGCUUAUCUGAAUAAAUUUAAAGAUAGCUUGCUAUGUUUAAUUAUUAUUUGGGUGAUUGUUUAUAAUAGUAAUCUUUUGCUGUUCGGGACUUUGGCGAAAUGGAGCGUUACGUCCCGUCUUGAAACACGGACCAAGGAGUCUAACAUGUGUGCAAGUGUUAGGGUGUGGAAACCCAAACGCGUAAUGAAAGUAAAUGAUAACAUUGGUUAUCUUUGGUAGGAAAGCAAACACUUUGUGAAUGCUGGCACUAUCGACCGAUCAUGAACCUACGUGGUGAAAGAUUUGAGUAUGAGCAUAUAUGUUGGUACCCGAAAGAUGGUGAACUAUGCCUGAAUAGGGUGAAGCCAGAGGAAACUUUGGUGGAAGCUCGUAGCGAUUCUGACGUGCAAAUCGAUCGUCAAAUUUGGGUAUAGGGGCGAAAGAC